Molecule: ribosomal RNA, 483 nt
Filed under: uncultured bacterium
Lineage: Bacteria
Description: bacterial SSU rRNA
Rfam family: Bacterial small subunit ribosomal RNA
Source: RNAcentral
CUACGUGCCAGCAGCCGCGGUAAUACGUAGGUGGCAAGCGUUGUCCGGAUUUAUUGGGCGUAAAGCGAGCGCAGGCGGUUCCUUAAGUCUGAUGUGAAAGCCCCCGGCUCAACCGGGGAGGGUCAUUGGAAACUGGGGAACUUGAGUGCAGAAGAGGAGAGUGGAAUUCCAUGUGUAGCGGUGAAAUGCGUAGAUAUUAGGAAGAACACCAGUGGCGAAGGCGACUUUCUGGACGAAAACUGACGCUGAGGCGCGAAAGCCAGGGGAGCGAACGGGAUUAGAUACCCCGGUAGUCCUGGCCGUAAACGAUGGGUACUAGGUGUAGGAGGUAUCGACCCCUUCUGUGCCGGAGUUAACGCAAUAAGUACCCCGCCUGGGGAGUACGACCGCAAGGUUGAAACUCAAAGGAAUUGACGGGGGCCCGCACAAGCGGUGGAGUAUGUGGUUUAAUUCGACGCAACGCGAAGAACCUUACCAGGUCUU